UCAUAACUGAAAUCCAAUCAUCAGGAAUCCCAGUGCAGCAGGAUGUUAGAGAAAAUAAACAACAGUCUCCUGAGAGGUUCUACCACUGCUUGACAAAUACAGAGGUUCAAUUCCACCAAACAUUGGUGAAUGAUGGCCCAAUCAGCCUGUACUUCCUUGCUCUCCUGCUGCAAUGUCAUCAACUUCUUCUUUAUAAGAUUCUCCUCCAUCAGGAGCCGGCUGUGCAGGUUACUGUAAGGACACUCUGCAUGAUGUGGCUCAAAGGGAAGAUGUGAGGACACCUUGGGUUCCUCUGAAUGGACAGAGUGAUAUGAAAUGGGCACUGACCAGGCUGAGAAACACUGCUGAGGCCCAUAUUCCAGGUAACAAGCACAUUCUCUGCCCUCCUUCCAAAGAACUCCUGUUGAGGCCAUGGACCUUGUCUACACAUGGGAACAUCAUGCAGACAUCUUUCCUAAUGAUACAAAGUUCUCUCUGGUAAGGCUUGCCCCUGACCAUAUCUGUAGCAAAUUUGUUACAAGGCAGCUGUCUAUAUCAUGCUGUUGCUGUAAUAUGCUUCCCAGUUGUGAUGGUUUGUAUACUCUUGCACCAGGGAGUGGCACCAUUUGGAGGUGUGGCCUUGUUGGAAUA
Molecule: long non-coding RNA, 630 nt
Organism: Mus musculus (house mouse)
Lineage: Eukaryota; Metazoa; Chordata; Mammalia; Rodentia; Muridae
Product: predicted gene, 30417
Exons: 4
Source: RefSeq, a predicted model, not a curated record